Long non-coding RNA from Mustela lutreola (European mink), 1839 nucleotides. RefSeq lists it as uncharacterized. The record is from RefSeq and is a predicted model, not a curated record. NCBI's taxonomy places the organism in Eukaryota, Metazoa, Chordata, Mammalia, Carnivora, Mustelidae. The transcript has 2 exons.
UGCCGCGUGUGCCCUGGAGGCGCGGGGCAGCGACGCUGUCAUUCCGGGGAGCCGAGGGGACUGCGGAGCGGCUGCCGCGUCCCCGGAGCGCGCGGAGGACCAGUGCCCGCGGCCCACCGGGAAACACGCUUUCACCAAAAAGAUGUAUUUUCCACCUGGAUUCAGCCUUUUCUGCAUGGAGCAUGCUGGACAAACCCAGCCCUGAACUGGCCAAGAUGCAGCUCUCAGAUAGCGAACCAUCCGUUGCACAUCAUGUCCUGGUCCAGCGCCCCAAGUGAGCACACCCAGCACUGACCAUUCCUGAGUGCCCAGGCCGUGGCUAGAGUGGUCAUACGCUGGCAGGGGUAAGACCAAGAGCUCAUUCUUGGAAGUGGUCAGAAGCGAGACUGUGAAUGAGCUCUGAGCCUCACUGUGCGUGAUCCAUUGUCCCAUCGAAUUUCACUUCAAAACACAAAUUCAAUGACAGGGGAACCUGGGUGGCUCAGUCGGUUAAGCGGCUACCUUCGGCUCAGGUCAUGAUCCCAGGGUCCUGGGAUCGAGCCCCGCAUUGGGCUCCCUGCUCAGUGGAGAGCCUGCUUCUCCCUCUGCCUCUGCCUGCUGCUCUGUAAAUAAACUAAAAAACAAAACAAAACCCCAAAACCCCACCAAAUUCAAUGAUAAAAUUAUUAAGAAUUUCCAAGAUGGCAGGGAGCCUCGGUGGUUCAGUUGGUAAGUGUGUGCCUUCCGCUCAGGUCAUGAUCCCAGGUCCCUGGGAUCGAGCCUUGCAUCAGGCUUCCCACUUCUCCCUCUUCCUCUGCCUCUCCCCCUGCUCGUGCUCUCUAAGAAAUACAAAAAAAAUCAUAAAAAAAACAAUCUUUUUUUUCUUUUUUAAAGAUUUUUUAUUUAUUUAUUUGAGAGAGAGACAGUGAGAGAGAGCAUGAGCGAGGAGAAGGUCAGAGAGAGAAGCAGACUCCCCGUGGAGCCGGAAGCCCGAUACGGGACUCGAUCCCAGUCCCGGGAUCAAGACCCGAGCCGAAGGCAGUCGUCCAACCAACUGAGCCACCCAGGCGUCCCUAAAAAAAAAAAAUCUUAAAGAAUUUCCAAGAUGGCAGAGAUAGAACAUUACAGCCCAAGUGCAGAGAACUUGAGCCUCAGCUCUGUGUAUGUCUAUUUUUUUUCUCGAUUUUGUAUUUUUUUCCAUAUAAAUCUUAAAAGCUCUUGCUACUUGAUUUAUGUAGUCAUUGUGAGUAAAAUUUUCCCAUUAUAUUUGCUAAGUGGCUAGUAACAAGACACAGAAAAGUCAUUUCGUGCAGUUGCUUUUGAUGGCUUUUCCUGGCAUUUUCUGUCUUACUGUUUUAGUUAAAUUUAAUGUUUCAGAAUCGGUUCUCUUGGGAUUUCUACACAAAAGAAUCACCUAUGACUUGAGUACUUAGCACUGCUAGUCACUGUUACAGGUCGUUUAAUCCUCAUGAGCCUUCGAAGCAGACACGACCAUGAUCCCAAGUCACAGACUAGGGAUGUGACACAUGAGAGACUUGCCCAAGGCCGGAGAGCUGAGAUCUAGGUGGCGGCCAAAAGUCAAAACCAGCACUGCGCCUCGAGUUCUCGUCCUCAGCCACCUGCUAGGACAUUUCUGUAUUGAUUACAUUCAGCUCCCUUUGCCUGGGGGGCUCCAUGCGGCAAGUGUCUACCUCCAGUUCAGGUCCUGACCCCAGGGUCCCGGGAUUGAGCCCUGCGUGGGCUCCCUGCUGAGCAGGGGGUGUGCUUCUCUUUCUCCCUCCUUCUCCCUCCACUCCUCCCUCUCUCGUGCUCUCUCAAACAAAAUCUUUUAAAAAAUAAAUAAGAUUAAGUCCAUGUUUA